AUUGAACGCUGGCGGCAGGCCUAACACAUGCAAGUCGAACGAGUGGAGGACGGGUGAGCAAGGUCUGGGAACAUGCCUGAUGGAGGGGGAUAACUACUGAAAACGGUAGCAAAUACCGCAUACCAUCCGAUGUGCCCAGAUGGGAUUAGCUAGUAGGUGGGGAAAAGGCUCACCUAGGCGACGAUGCCUAGCUGGUCUGAGAGGGGGACCGGCCACACUGGGACUGAGACACGGCCCAGACUCCUACGGGAGGCAGCAGUAGGGAAUAUUCCACAAUGGUCGAAAGCCUGAGCGAGCCACGCCGCGUGAGUGAAGAAGGCCUUCGGGUUGUAAAGCUCUUUUGGUAGAGAAGCGUUAUCCAAAGAGGAAGCCACGGCUAACUCCGUGCCAGCAGCCGCGGUAAUAC
This 406-nucleotide ribosomal RNA is filed under the name uncultured bacterium. RNAcentral describes it as "partial 16S ribosomal RNA". It matches the Rfam family "Bacterial small subunit ribosomal RNA", at positions 29 to 526 of the family's 1533-position model. The record is from RNAcentral.